GUGUCAGCAGCCGCGGUAAUACAGAGGGUGCAAGCGUUGCUCGGAAUUAUUGGGCGUAAAGGGCAGGUAGGUGGUCAUAUUUGUCUAGGGUGAAAUCCCGGAGCUUAACUUCGGAAGUGCCUUAGAAACGGUAUGACUAGAGUCCUAGAGAGGUUUGUGGAAUUCCCGGUGUAGCGGUGAAAUGCGUAGAGAUCGGGAGGAAUACCAGCAGCGAAGGCGGCAAACUGGAUAGGAACUGACACUCAACUGCGAAAGCGUGGGGAGCAAACAGGAUUAGAUACCCUGGUAGUCC
Molecule: ribosomal RNA, 292 nt
Filed under: uncultured bacterium
Lineage: Bacteria
Description: partial 16S ribosomal RNA
Rfam family: Bacterial small subunit ribosomal RNA
Source: RNAcentral